Molecule: ribosomal RNA, 378 nt
Filed under: uncultured bacterium
Lineage: Bacteria
Description: bacterial SSU rRNA
Rfam family: Bacterial small subunit ribosomal RNA
Source: RNAcentral
UAAGACGUAGGUGGCGAACGUUAUCCGGAAUUAUUGGGCGUAAAGGGUGCGUAGAUGGCUUAGUAAGUUGGCGGUGGGAAAUCGAGGCUCAACCUCGUGGAAGCCGACAAUACUAUUAAGCUCGAGUACAGGAGAGGUUAAUGGAACUCCAUGUGGAGCGGUAAAAUGCACAGAUAUAUGGAAGAACACCAAUAAAGGCGAAGGCAAUUAACUAUUCUGUUACUGACAUUGAGGCACGAAAGCGUGGGGAGCAAAACGGAUUAGAUACCCGUGUAGUCCACGCCCUAAACGAUGAGUGCUGGAUAUUGGAGACUUGAUCUUCAGUGUCGCUAGGUAACCCGGUAAGCACUCCGCCUGGGCAGUACGCUCGCAAGAGUG